CUUUACUGGCUGGUCGGGUUGUCCGGCGCUUUUACUUUGAAAAAAUUAGAGUGCUCAAAGCAGGCCGAUCGCCUGAAUAAUGGUGCAUGGAAUAAUGGAAUAGGACCUCGGUUCUAUUUUGUUGGUUUUCGGAACACGAGGUAAUGAUUAAGAGGGACAGACGGGGGCAUUUGUAUUGCGACGCUAGAGGUGAAAUUCUUGGACCGUCGCAAGACAAACUACUGCGAAAGCAUUUGCCAAGAAUGUUUUCAUUAAUCAAGAACGAAAGUCAGAGGUUCGAAGGCGAUCAGAUACCGCCCUAGUUCUGACCAUAAACGAUGCCAACUAGCAAUCCGCCUGAGUUCCUCAUACGACUCGGCGGGCAGCUUCCGGGAAACCAAAGUUUUUGGGUUCCGGGGGAAGUAUGGUUGCAAAGCUGAAACUUAAAGGAAUUGACGGAAGGGCACCACCAGGAGUGGAGCCUGCGGCUUAAUUUGACUCAACACGGGGAAACUUACCCGGCCCGGACACCGGAAGGAUUGACAGAUUAAGAGCUCUUUCUUGAUUCGGUGGGUGGUGGUGCAUGGCCGUUCUUAGUUGGUGGAGUGAUUUGUCUGGUUAAUUCCGAUAACGAACGAGACUCUGGCCUAUUAAAUAGACGUUCGAUCUCUUUAAUGUCGAACGCUCUUCUUAGAGGGACAGGCGGCUUUUAGCCGCACGAGAUAGAGCAAUAACAGGUCUGUGAUGCCCUUAGAUGUCCGGGGCCGCACGCGCGCUACAAUGAAGGAUUCAGCAUGUGUUUUCCCUAAUCCGAAAGGACGGGGUAAUCAUGUGAAACUCCUUCGUGCUUGGGAUAGGGGUUUGUAAUUUUUCCCCUUGAACGAGGAAUUCCCAGUAAGCGCGAGUCAUCAACUCGCGUUGAUUACGUCCCUGCCCUUUGUACACACCGCCCGUCGCUACUACCGAUUGAGAGAUUCAGCAAGGACUUUGGACUGGCUCACGG
Molecule: ribosomal RNA, 982 nt
Filed under: Lagynochthonius australicus
Lineage: Eukaryota; Metazoa; Arthropoda; Arachnida; Pseudoscorpiones; Chthoniidae
Description: SSU rRNA
Rfam family: Eukaryotic small subunit ribosomal RNA
Source: RNAcentral